GCACUAGUCGGGGAGCUAGCGGUGCCCUGUACCUGCAAUCCGCUACAGCAGGGGUGAAUCCCCGCCCCCGGAUAGCCGAUGUGUCGUCUGACCGUAGUAAGCGGCGUUGAAGGCCCGGUCCAGCGCAACGGAGUCCCGUGAACCAUGUCAGGCGGGGAACCGAGCAGCAUUAAGCGGGUCCCUCCGUGUGCCGCGGGGGCGCCGGGCCCGAGCUGGCUGCUGUGGUAAC
Molecule: signal recognition particle RNA, 229 nt
Filed under: human gut metagenome
Description: Bacterial large signal recognition particle RNA
Rfam family: Bacterial large signal recognition particle RNA
About the family: The signal recognition particle (SRP) is a universally conserved ribonucleoprotein involved in the co-translational targeting of proteins to membranes. Archaeal SRP consists of a 7S RNA and homologues of the eukaryotic SRP19 and SRP54 proteins.
Source: RNAcentral